UGUGUUCACUCGAGUGGAAUAGAGGUUUUUGUACGAGCCUUUCAUUAGAUUGUAUCACUGUGGUACACUUUCGGUGGAGGAACUAAACUGGUGCUCGCUGGUCCCACAGUGAAGCCCUCAGUGUCUCUGCUGCCGCCCUCUUCUCUGCAGAUCUCUGGAGACUCAGCCGCACUGCUCUGCCUGCUCAGCUCUUACUCUCCACAGGGGGCGCUGGUGAGCUGGACACUGGACGGCUCAGAGGUCACCGAGGGGGUUGUGACCAGCGCAGAGAGCGAGCAGGACGGCCGCUACAGCCGCAGUAGCGUCCUGACCCUCAGCAAAGCACGCUGGGAAGAGGGAGAGCUGUACGUCUGCAGAGUAACACAUGAUGGAGCUCCUCAUGAGGCCUCGUUCCACAAGAGUCGCUGUUAGUCGCUCGCAGUGCUGAUGUUUCUCCAGUGAGCGCUGCUCUCUCCUGAAGAUGAGCGUAUCUGAGUGUCCUGUGUCAGGCAGGAUUCACAUGAGUCUAGUGCUGCAGCUGUAGUCAUUUACAACUCAAUACUGAAAGAGAGCUCUAGUGUCAAAGCACUGGCUGAUCUUUCAAUCUGCUGUGUUUGCUGCAACAUUCAAUAAAGCUUCUCAACAAA
This is a long non-coding RNA of Sinocyclocheilus anshuiensis, 626 nucleotides long. RefSeq lists it as uncharacterized. The transcript is spliced from 2 exons. NCBI's taxonomy places the organism in Eukaryota, Metazoa, Chordata, Actinopteri, Cypriniformes, Cyprinidae. The record is from RefSeq and is a predicted model, not a curated record.